ACACGCAGAUCCGUUUGCCGCCCCUGUCCUGUCCGCCUGCACUGCCCGAUUCUGCCGCCUGUCCACGAGGCGAGGGGCGGUAAAAGGCUGGGUGUGUGCCUGUGUGGGGUGUGGGUAGGGGAGGCAGAGAUUGCUGCGCGCGCCCCGGAGCAGAGCGAGUGCUUGCCAGUUGCCAUUACUGUUCGGUGCGGUGAGGUAGUAGAGGGAUAAAGAAAGAAGGGACUGGAAGGAAGGAAGGAGUGAGGGAGAUGCCGGCUUCGCCUCGUAUGGGGAGGGGAUAAGGGAAGGCCGAUGGCAAUGCCGCCGUUUCUCCCUCUUCGCGAAUAGCUAGUACGCGUUCAAAGCAACUGAUUGGCUGUUGAUCAGCAAGAUGGAUGGGAAAGGAUUGUUUGCGGAGAUAGGGAUGAAGGAGGAGGACAUUGCCACAAUGCUGUCUGGGAAGAAAGUUUCCGAGCUGGCAGAGGAUGCGUUUGAUGGUUCCAAGGAAGAAAGACAGAUCUUUGAGGGUGUCUUCUGCCUAACAAACGUUGAUGGUGGAUUGAAUGAUCAUUAUCAUGGAGGCAUUGGACAUACUGUUCAUGCAGGGAAAGUGGUGACAAGUUCUAGAAAACCAUCAAGCUCUGCCGACAAUUACAAGGCAGCACACUGUCGCAUAGUAGAGUCCUUCACUGCUGGCAACUUAUCAAGCUAUCGUGUCUCCUGUCUUGGUGCCGAUGAGCAGGCUCAUGGAGCAAUGCAUUCUCCUGAUGCUGUCCGUUUCAAGCUUGCAGUGCAGUGGACGCCUCCUCGCCCUGAUCGGGUGUACACUCGUAGGGUGGUGACUCGCAGGAGCGAGAGGGCAAGAAUUUGCAGUGCGAUGGAUUUGGAGAGCAUCGACAUUUGCAAUUUCAGUCGUCAGAGGGAUGGUCGUGGCCAUGGACAGCUUUGGAACCAUCUUCGGAUGCAUGCACAUCUUCUGAUGGUGGAUGCCGGGUGGAAGAUUGAGGCCAAGGAAAGAGACAACAGGAGUAAAGUUGAUCAUGUUUAUGUGGCGCCAGACAAUGUGACACGCCUGUAUUCUCUUCCCAGAGCAUGGAAAUGCUUUGGCCAGUGGUUGCUUAUGACAACACCCUGCGUCAAUGGAAAUGAGUCAAUUGACUACGGAAAGGAGUGGUCGAACAUGCAUGAAUUUCUGUAUGAUCUGAAGAACACACUGCUAUGCCUACAGUAUGAGGUCCAACGUACGAAGCCAGCACUAUCUUUCCUCUACCAGUGGCAGCUCCUUGAUCCUUUCAUGGCUGUUGUUUGCAUCGAUAAGAAGGUUGCAGCUCUUAAAGAUGGAGUGGCACUGAAAGCUGUUAACAGCACCGUGACUUGCCUCAAUCGCAGUGAGUGUAAGAUGUUGGAUGCCAAGAAUUCAAAUAGGUCACUUGGGGUCAACUCCACAAGUAAAUAUAUGAAUCCAUAUCUCAGCUCCUGCAAAAAAAGUCUUCUGCCGCUUCUCUCUGAAUCUGAUUAUCAGCCUGAUAAGGAAGGGAAUACUAUGCCUAAUGAAGAAGCUUCUCUAUUUUGUACAAACAAGACUAGCGAAGAUGAAGCUGAUCGGCGGUCAUUGUGUAUGUCAGAAAUGAAUGAAAUAGGCAUAAGAAGCACAGCUCAUCACAUAGUUAUGGGUUUACAUGAUGCAACAGCUUUUCAUGGCUCAAGCCAAACUUGUUCGGGGAGGAAAAGAAAAUUUCCGUGCAUCAAGUCUAAAGAGGAUAAUCAAACUGAAGACAAGUCUGACCCAUUAUUCUUUCCACCCAGCUAUUCAUCCACAUUAAGUCAUCUGGUUGAAAAUGUUCAAAUAAAUGAUGUUAGCCCUCAUGGCUAUGAAACCACGGAGAUUCCAAACAUGGGCAAUCGUACAGAUAUUCUUGAUAAGAUGUACCUAGGAGAGAAUUUAUUGUUUGCCCCCGAAACUGGUAAUAUGCUACUUGAAACUACAGAUGAUAUCAACAAUGAACAGCAUGAUGAUGCAGCUGUCUCUGAGCCCCAAUCGGCAGAUAAUGAUGGAAGUGGACCUUCUGGUGCAUCAUCACUACCACCAGAGAAAGAUGCAUACAUGGGAUCUAAAGAGGAUUCUAUUAACGACUAUCAUGAUCCUUCAGUUGUCUCUGAGUUCCAAAUUGCUAAUAAUGAUGCAAAAUGUGAACCUUCUAUUGCAUUCUUGCCAGAAAAGGAUAAAGAUUUGGAAGCUAAUAAAACGAGCUUGGAAGGUCCAGCAAAAACAGGCCAAUUGUCAUCUGAAGCUAGUGGCAGCACUUUGAUGAUCUCAGAGCCACAAGUAUUGUUUGUGUCCCCACAAGAUGGGACUCUGUCUUUCAUGAACAAUAAUACGAACAACCAAGAGAUGUGGAGGUUCCUGAAUGUUUCCCCUGAUACCAUGGAUACCGAAAUGCAGAUGGACUCUAAUUCAUUGGUUUACGAGGCAAGCUUGAUUCAGGGUUUCUUGUACCUUGACAAUGAGGGUUCUCCAAUUUGUUGGACAGUGAUGAACCCGGAACCUCCUAGGCGCUUGAUAUGUGCUACUGCUCUGGAACCAAACUCAAAGCUGUCGAAACAGUAUGUUGAAAUGAGGUUGGAGAAUGAUGCAUCAACGUCUGAACACAAGAAGGGAGGAAAAUUGUCUGAUAAGGCUGCAGAUAUCCAAGACAAUGUCAGUAGAAAAAAACAGAAAGCAAACAUUGCUUCUUUAAAUAAUUGCGUAAGUAUGGACAAUUUAACUGUCAAUCCUAUUGAUCCUGUAGUUCUCAAUGAGGGAGAGCAGACAGGUACAGCAAUCACUGAGCAGGUUCCUGUUCCUUUGAAUCUAGUGCUUGAGAACAAAAAUGACAAGGACCAAGGUGAGCAAAGCAGUGAAACUUCAGAACAACUUAUGUCCAAAGAACCACAAAAAAGGGACAUCAAAAGGCAAAAGAGAACAUGGUCUCAUACAUGCAAGUUUGAUGAUGAUGACCUUCUGAUGACAGCUGUAAUAUAUAAGCUGACAGCACGUUACAGGAACUCUUUUCAUCGGAAGCUCAGAAAUAAAUUCGGUUUCAGGCGUCUUCCAACAUACCACUGGGAGAAUGAAGAUAAAGGUGACAGGAAGAAGUUUCCUGGAGAAGCAAGGACGGUGUUGAACAAGUUACUUGAAAUGGGCAUUGUUGCUAGAGUGGAUAUUCUUCAAUGUCAUGGUCCAGGAGGCAAAAAUGUGUUGAAGGAUGGGAACAUAACUGCGAGUGGCAUUCAAUGCCAGUGCUGUGGUACCACAUUCACAAUGUCCAAGUUUAAGUGUCAUGCAGGUCUCAGGCAAGAAGUCCCAUCUCUGAAUCUUUUCUUGGAUACAGGCAAAUCUUACAGUCUUUGUCAGCUUCAAGCAUGGUCUAUAGAGCAGAAGGUGAGGAAAGAGCAUGCAAAGGAUACAAUGUCCCUUCAAGCAGACCAAAACGAUGAUACCUGUGGAUCAUGUGGCGAUGGUGGUGAACUGAUAUGCUGUGACAAUUGUCCUGCUAGUUACCAUCAAGCCUGCUUGUCUUGCCAGUUUGCGCAAAGAAAGAGGGACUCCAAGAAUGCCGGUGCUGCUGCCCGCCCACCCCCUCGUGGAUCGAGCUUUUUAAACUUCCCAUGGAUAUUCCAGAUGGCAACUGGUACUGCUCUAGCUGCCUUUGCGACAUUUGUGGUGAAGUAAUCGAUUCAAAGGAGCUUGUAACUUCCCUUCCUGCUUUAGAUUGCUCACAGUGCGAACGCCAAUAUCAUCAACACACACACACACGGGCAGGGCAGACUGCUUUUUAACCAAGCCUAGAUCAAGAUUUGAAUGACCUAAAACUUUUUGACCAUGUAAAAUGUGUAUCUGCCAAAGUUCCGUGCAAUGAGGAUGGAUCUGGUACCUGGUUUUGUGGAAGAAAAUGUCACGAGAUCUAUAUGACCUUCCGUUCUCGUGUUGGAGUGCCUGAUCACAUGGACGAUGAUCUGUGUUUCACCGUUCUUCGUAACAACGGUGAUAAGAAGGUUCGCACGGCAGAGGAGAUUGCUCUCAUGGCUGAAUGCAACAUGAAACUCAUGAUCGCCACGAGUAUCAUGGAAGAGUGUUUCCUGCCUAUUCUAGAUCCCAGGACAGGGAUAGACAUUAUUCCCUCCAUAUUGUAUAACUGGAGGUCUGAUUUACAUUUCAAUUACAAGGGGUUCUAUACAGUAGUCUUGGAAAGUGAUGAUAGCAUGGUAUCUGUUGCCUCCAUAAGGUUGCAUGGUGCAAUUUUAGCAGAGAUGCCUCUGGUAGCAACUUCUAAAGAGAAUCGUCAGCAGGGGAUGUGCAGGCGCCUCAUGGAUUACAUUGAGGAGAUGCUGAAAUCCCUGAAGGUGGAGAUGCUGCUCCUAUCAGCAAUCCCGCACCUGGCGGAGACAUGGACAUCGACAUUUGGGUUCAGAGAGAUAGAUGAGUCGGACAAGAAGAGGCUGAGUAAGGUGAGGCUGGCCGCAGUUCCGGGGACCGUCCUACUGAAGAAGGACCUGCUGUGUGAAUGUUCAGGCGCGGACGCCGGUGAGCCGCCGAGCCCUAAGCCCUUCCAAGUUUACUCGCGCGUGCCGAGAGGCCGCACCGGUUUGGAUGCAGUGUGCCAAUAAAGAUGACGCAGUGGAUCGAAUGCGCCGCGGUCAGUCGUCGUCGUCGGUGACAGGGGGCAGCUGGUGGUCGUCACGGGGCCUCGUCUCCGGUUGCUGAAGCCGAGGCCGAGCACAUCAGCACGCGCCGGUUUGUGUGGUGGAAAUGGAAAGCCUCGUUGCUCUGGUAGGAGCUCUGAAGAUCGCUGUCGUCUGCUUGUAGUCUGUAAAUAGCUUCUCCGUCGGCGAGAAGCCCAGGGUCCACGGCCAUUGUAGAACCGAACCUGUAUGAUAAAACUAGACCGUGUUGGCGCCCCACCAGCGUUUAGUAGUUUCCGUUGCCCUUUGAACUCAAA
Zea mays is the source of this 4958-nucleotide RNA transcript. RefSeq lists it as uncharacterized. The transcript has 10 exons. The record is from RefSeq and is marked validated. Lineage: Eukaryota; Viridiplantae; Streptophyta; Magnoliopsida; Poales; Poaceae.